Molecule: long non-coding RNA, 1590 nt
Filed under: Gallus gallus (chicken)
Lineage: Eukaryota; Metazoa; Chordata; Aves; Galliformes; Phasianidae
Description: long non-coding RNA NONGGAT003352
Source: RNAcentral
AAAAAAAGAGAGAAGCCACUGAUCUUCCUUGCCUAGCCUGGGAUCAGAGACAGGCAUGGGCACACGGCACCGGGACAGGGGUAAAUCCCCUACCCCAGGAGGGAAUGUGGAGGAGAUCGUAGCUAAGCGUGGAACUGAGACAGUCACUGCCAUCUGCCCCGGCUUGAUUUACCCCCUGCCUCCAUCACAGAGCCCAAUUUGUUUUUAUACGCAGCCACAAGCAACAGCCGUCCUCACUGUUUACACAGGUCAGAGCUGGGAGCAGCUCCAAUCACACCGAGGUUGGCUUCCAGCUUGGCGCUGCCCCAGGACAGUACUGCGUGGACCAUCCCUGCAGCUUCAGUGACCAAUCAGUUGCAGCAUCUCCUGAGGAUCUACUAUCUUCUCCCGGGGUUUGCCAGCAGCUUUUCCUCGUGCCACUUCGGCAGCAUCUAUCUUCUCCCACUCUGAGAAGGAAACAGGACGGAUCCCUGGGGUGAUGGUGAGAGACAGGACCGAGACAUCAACCAAGUGAAAAUGAGUUCAGCCUCACCUCCCCAUUAGCAGGGACCUGAUGUGCAAGCAAACCCUGCCCUUUUCCAACACAGCGUCAGACUUUAGCAUCGCACAGGAAUAAUAAUUCCUAGCACCAGGAGGAGAGAGAUUGCGGGUUCCAGUCAAAUCUGAUUAGUCAGACCUUUGCGAGCCAUAAGAACAGUGAGCACAGCACCACCUUAGGGGACAAAACACUUACAAAACACUUCCAGUUCACUGUUAAACCUCAGACAGUUAAGAGGCAAAAACACACUUUAAUUGAAUGGCUUUAAACACUGCAGCAGUAAAUGACUCUCUUGGGCAUUUUAAUCUUUUCCCCAAUUUGCCUGGAAGGAUUGCUAGGAAAACCAUUCAAGAGCAAUAACUCGCUGUCUACACCACUGACAGUGACAUUUUGCUCAUGGCCCAUGCUGCUUUCAAUGGCCUUUCCCAGAAAGCAGUCAUUAACCGCAGCAACGAUGCUGACUUUCAGAGAAUCCCAGUCCUACUCUCCCUGCACUUUGGAGCAACAAAAUAGCAGCACAACCCAUUUCCCUACUUGGCUCCCAAAGGUAGCAUGUUGGACUCACUGCCAGGAUACCCAGAUCCAGGAUCUGUGUGUGUCAUACUUCAUGCUAGCUGCUACAGAGGCUGACACACACUCACCUCGACUACGCAGGAUGCUACCCACAGCCCCAAAACCUUCUUUGGAGACAGACACAUCCAGCACACCCUCCUGGAGAUCCUCCAGCACAGACUGGGCAGUGUCAAAGCUGUCGUUCAUGGUGGUGAUGAUCACACCCACGGGUCCUCUCUUCACCCACCCACUGCAGUACAGACCUGCAUGGGCACACACAGCAGACAGGCUCAGUCUGGCACACGACCAUGGACCCUUGUGGAUGCAGGUUCUUGCCCUUGCUUUGGAUGUCACAUCAAGCUGCAGGCAGCAGCAUAAUGCACCCCUGCUUUGGGGACAGAGCAUAGUACUCUGACAGUGCCGUCAGAGGAAUCUGUGUACCUCCAGACUAACACCAAGCAGCCAAAUGGGCUGUACUGCUUCAGUAACAAGACUUCAAG